Molecule: ribosomal RNA, 536 nt
Filed under: Erwinia sp. 2615
Lineage: Bacteria; Pseudomonadati; Pseudomonadota; Gammaproteobacteria; Enterobacterales; Erwiniaceae
Description: bacterial SSU rRNA
Rfam family: Bacterial small subunit ribosomal RNA
Source: RNAcentral
CAACGCGAAGAACCUUACCUGGCCUUGACAUCCACGGAAUUCGGCAGAGAUGCCUUAGUGCCUUCGGGAACCGUGAGACAGGUGCUGCAUGGCUGUCGUCAGCUCGUGUUGUGAAAUGUUGGGUUAAGUCCCGCAACGAGCGCAACCCUUAUCCUUUGUUGCCAGCGAGUAAUGUCGGGAACUCAAAGGAGACUGCCGGUGACAAACCGGAGGAAGGUGGGGAUGACGUCAAGUCAUCAUGGCCCUUACGGCCAGGGCUACACACGUGCUACAAUGGCGCAUACAAAGAGAAGCGAACUCGCGAGAGCAAGCGGACCUCACAAAGUGCGUCGUAGUCCGGAUCGGAGUCUGCAACUCGACUCCGUGAAGUCGGAAUCGCUAGUAAUCGUAGAUCAGAAUGCUACGGUGAAUACGUUCCCGGGCCUUGUACACACCGCCCGUCACACCAUGGGAGUGGGUUGCAAAAGAAGUAGGUAGCUUAACCUUCGGGAGGGCGCUUACCACUUUGUGAUUCAUGACUGGGGUGAAGUCGUAAC